GGCUAGUUGAAUCGGGUGUGUGAAUGUUGUUUCCCUUUGAACCGCGUUGCGCGUCAGUAGAUGCGCGUUGCUUUGCGCAAACUGGAAUAUCAUCUUCGCCACCAUAGUAGGCCAAAUUAUCUAUUUAGAAUAAACUUAGCUUUCAUUCUCAACGGUUGAAUCCAUUACAGUGGUCAGGUAAGGGCCACUAAUUGGAUUAUUUUCACUGUACGUAUGUAAGAUACUUUGCAUCCAAUUAGGCUUAGAGAUCUCAGAAGCGUAGACCUAAACUAAUUUCCCCUUUUUUUCUCUCUAUGGUUGUAUCUUUAUAGUGGUCAGGUAAGGACUACUAAUAUACGUUUCCUUCUCUUUAUUAUUAGACCACAGCACCGGUCACAAAUUUGAUCAGGAAUCCACUGUACAUUGUAGUUACAAAACCUAGCUCCGCUAGGAAGACUUCUUUUAUUUUCAGCAACUUGCAAUUAGAUUAGGAGGACCGGCAAGCCACAGUGCUCAUGUCAGGAGCUGCUGACACGGAGGAACCGGAAGCAGGGAGGAGGAACACCGGAUGACUGAAGACCCUGCUUGCCGGGCAUCCCAUUACUGAUUUCCCAGAGAUGACGGUCUGCAAGAUGAGAUGUCAUUCUGGACGAAGAUACAAUCACUUCUGAAUCCCAAGGAACCGGAAGCAGGGAGGAGGACCGACGGAAGGACUGAUGACCUGCUUGCAGAGCAAGUCUUCACCAAUUCUUGAGAUUGCUCUUGUUUCGUGUAAGCAGCAGAGACGAUGACAAUAUACAUAACGGAGUGCAGUUGUUCACCAAGGCAGGAACACGAAUUUUAGCAACACUCGACUGAGUUUUACAAUAGCUAGCUCCUGAAAGUUCCCAUAAGUUUCUCUUAAAAAGUCGUCACAUUUGAUUAAUCCGAGGGAUGUAUAAAGACACCAUCCCAUUCAAAAUCCUUCCAAAAACCUGCUGGAUAAAUUUAAAAAGCUGUAUAUGUCAACUUACUACUCUGUAUUACUACUCUGUAUUUCUUUUUUUUUCCGAUCAGCAAUA
Long non-coding RNA from Patiria miniata (bat star), 1040 nucleotides. RefSeq lists it as uncharacterized. The transcript has 3 exons. The record is from RefSeq and is a predicted model, not a curated record. Lineage: Eukaryota; Metazoa; Echinodermata; Asteroidea; Valvatida; Asterinidae.